This 483-nucleotide ribosomal RNA is filed under the name uncultured bacterium. Its description in RNAcentral is "partial 16S ribosomal RNA". It matches the Rfam family "Bacterial small subunit ribosomal RNA", at positions 28 to 507 of the family's 1533-position model. The record is from RNAcentral.
GAUGAACGCUCGCGGCAGGCCUAAUACAUGCAAGCCGAAUGGCAAGUUUGAUAGCACUCUUGGACCUAGAGUGGCGCAAGGGUGCGUAACACGUAUGCAACCUGCCCGCGACAGGAGGAUAGCUCCCCGAAAGGGGAAUUAACCCUCCAUAACACCAUGAGAAGGCAUCUGAUUAUGGUUAAACCGCACGGGGUCGCGGAUGGGCAUGCGGUUGAUUAGCUAGUUGGCGGGGUAAAGGCCCACCAAGGCGGUGAUCAAUAGGGGUUCUGAGAGGAAGGUCCCCCACACUGGAACUGAGAUACGGGCCAGACUCCUACGGGAGGCAGCAGUAGGGAAUAUUGGACAAUGGUUGCAAGACUGAUCCAGCCAUGCCGCGUGCAGGAAGAAGGCCUUCUGGGUCGUAAACUGCUUUUUCCUGUGGAUAAAAUACCCGUGCGCGGGGAAUUGAAGGUAACAGGGGAAUAAGCCACGGCUAACUACGUG